RNAcentral lists this ribosomal RNA (848 nucleotides) under uncultured bacterium. Its description in RNAcentral is "bacterial SSU rRNA". It matches the Rfam family "Bacterial small subunit ribosomal RNA", at positions 61 to 899 of the family's 1533-position model. The record is from RNAcentral.
GUCGAGCGGAUGAAGAGAGCUUGCUCUCUGAUUCAGCGGCGGACGGGUGAGCCAUUCCUAGGAAUCUGCCUGAUAGUGGGGGACAACGUUUCGAAACGUACGCUAAUACCGCAUACGUCCUACGGGAGAAAGUGGGGGAUCUUCGGACCUCACGCUAUCAGAUGAGCCUAGGUCGGAUUAGCUAGUUGGUGAGGUAAUGGCUCACCAAGGCUACGAUCCGUAACUGGUCUGAGAGGAUGAUCAGUCACACUGGAACUGAGACACGGUCCAGACUCCUACGGGAGGCAGCAGUGGGGAAUAUUGGACAAUGGGCGAAAGCCUGAUCCAGCCAUGCCGCGUGUGUGAAGAAGGUCUUCGGAUUGUAAAGCACUUUAAGUUGGGAGGAAGGGCAGUAAAUUAAUACUUUGCUGUUUUGACGUUACCGACAGAAUAAGCACCGGCUAACUCUGUGCCAGCAGCCGCGGUAAUACAGAGGGUGCAAGCGUUAAUCGGAAUUACUGGGCGUAAAGCGCGCGUAGGUGGUUUGUUAAGUUGAAUGUGAAAGCCCCGGGCUCAACCUGGGAACUGCAUCCAAAACUGGCAAGCUAGAGUACGGUAGAGGGUGGGGGGAAUUUCCUGUGUAGCGGUGAAAUGCGUAGAUAUAGGAAAGAACACCAGUGGGCGAAGGCGACCCCCUGGACUGAUACUGACACUGAGGUGCCAAAGCGUGGGGGAGCAACAAGAUUAGAUACCCUGGUAGUCCACGCCGUUAACGAUGGCAACUAAGCGGUGGAAACCUUGAAAAUUUAAGGGGGCCACUUAAGCAUUAAGUUUGACCGCCGGGGGAGUACGGGCCGCAAGGGUUAAAA